RNAcentral lists this ribosomal RNA (257 nucleotides) under uncultured bacterium. RNAcentral describes it as "partial 16S ribosomal RNA". It matches the Rfam family "Bacterial small subunit ribosomal RNA", at positions 335 to 584 of the family's 1533-position model. The record is from RNAcentral.
ACUCCUACGGGAGGCAGCAGUGGGGAAUAUUGGACAAUGGGGGAAACCCUGAUCCAGCCAUGCCGCGUGUGUGAAGAAGGCCUUCGGGUUGUAAAGCACUUUCAGUGGGGAGGAAAGGUUACAGGUUAAUACCCUGUAGCUGUGACGUUACCCACAGAAGAAGCACCGGCUAACUCCGUGCCAGCAGCCGCGGUAAUACGGAGGGUGCAAGCGUUAAUCGGAAUUACUGGGCGUAAAGCGCGUGUAGGUGGCUUGUU